Molecule: small nucleolar RNA, 88 nt
Filed under: Anopheles atroparvus
Lineage: Eukaryota; Metazoa; Arthropoda; Insecta; Diptera; Culicidae
Description: small nucleolar RNA SNORD49
Rfam family: Small nucleolar RNA SNORD49
About the family: U49 belongs to the C/D class of snoRNA which contain the C (UGAUGA) and D (CUGA) box motifs. Most of the members of the box C/D family function in directing site-specific 2'-O-methylation of substrate RNAs.
Source: RNAcentral
UUCAGUGAUGAAGUUUUCUACGGAAAACAAGAUAAUUUUAGGAAGAGCCGUCCGAUUCGUAACUGACGAAUGCUUCCAUAUUCUGAAG